UAGUCAUAUGCUUGUCUCAAAGAUUAAGCCAUGCAUGUCUAAGUAUAAAUGACUUUAUACAGUGAAACUGCGAAUGGCUCAUUAAAUCAGUUAUAGUUUAUUUGAUAAUACCUUACUACUUGGAUAACCGUGGUAAUUCUAGAGCUAAUACAUGCUACAUAACCCGACUUCUGGAAGGGUGGUACUGAUUAGAUACAAAACCAAUCCGGGCAACCGGUUCCUUGGUGAUUCAUAAUCAUUUUUCGAAUCGUAUGGCUUUACGCCGACGAUGGUUCAUU
RNAcentral lists this ribosomal RNA (278 nucleotides) under uncultured eukaryote. RNAcentral's name for it is "partial 18S ribosomal RNA". It matches the Rfam family "Eukaryotic small subunit ribosomal RNA", at positions 21 to 299 of the family's 1831-position model. The record is from RNAcentral.